UACAGAGGUCUCAAGCGUUGUUCGGAUUCAUUGGGCGUAAAGGGUGCGUAGGCGGCGCGGUAAGUCGGGUGUGAAAUCUUGGAGCUUAACUCCGAAACUGCAUUCGAUACUGCCGUGCUUGAGGACUGGAGAGGAGACUGGAAUUUACGGUGUAGCGGUGAAAUGCGUAGAUAUCGUAAGGAGGACCAGUGGCGAAGGCGGGUCUCUGGACAGUUCCUGACGCUGAAGCACGAAGGCCAGGGGAGCAAACGGG
RNAcentral lists this ribosomal RNA (253 nucleotides) under uncultured bacterium. Its description in RNAcentral is "partial 16S ribosomal RNA". It matches the Rfam family "Bacterial small subunit ribosomal RNA", at positions 524 to 776 of the family's 1533-position model. The record is from RNAcentral.